GUCCACGCCUUAAACUAUGAAUACUAAGUGUCGGCGGUUUACCGCCGGUGCCGCAGCUAACGCAUUAAGUAUUCCGCCUGGGAAGUACGGCCGCAAGGUUGAAACUCAAAGGAAUUGACGGGGGCCCGCACAAGCGGUGUAGCAUGUGGUUUAAUUCGACGCAACGCGAAGAACCUUACCCAGGCUGGACAUGCAGGUAGUAGAAUGGUGAAAGCCCAACGAGGUAGCAAUACCAUCCUGCUCAGGUGCUGCAUGGCUGUCGU
RNAcentral lists this ribosomal RNA (263 nucleotides) under uncultured bacterium. RNAcentral describes it as "partial 16S ribosomal RNA". It matches the Rfam family "Bacterial small subunit ribosomal RNA", at positions 793 to 1055 of the family's 1533-position model. The record is from RNAcentral.